CUACGAGAACGACGCUGGCGGCGCGUUUAAGCAUGCAAGUCGAGCGGCAAGGGCCUUCGGGCCCCUAGAGCGGCGGACGGGUGAGUAACACGUGGACAAUCUGCCCCCCGGCCCGGGAUAGCCCAGGGAAACCUGGAUUAAUACCGGAUGAGACGGGACCCGCGAUGGCGGGAUCCGGGAAAGGCGCUGCGGCGCCGCCGGGGGAUGAGUCUGCGUCCCAUUAGCUAGACGGCGGGGUAACGGCCCACCGUGGCGACGAUGGGUAGCCGGCCUGAGAGGGUGGACGGCCACAUUGGAACUGAGACACGGUCCAGACUCCUACGGGAGGCAGCAGCUAAGAAUCUUCCGCAAUGGGCGAAAGCCUGACGGAGCCGACGCCGCGUGAACGAAGAAGGCCGUGAGGUUGUAAAGUUCUUUUCGGGAGGGGAACAACCGUGGCAGGGAAUGGCCGCGGGAUGACGUGAAUCCCGGAAUAAGCCCCGGCUAACUACGUGCCAGCCGCCGC
Molecule: ribosomal RNA, 505 nt
Filed under: uncultured bacterium
Lineage: Bacteria
Description: bacterial SSU rRNA
Rfam family: Bacterial small subunit ribosomal RNA
Source: RNAcentral